This 1183-nucleotide long non-coding RNA is filed under the name Olea europaea (common olive). RNAcentral's name for it is "long non-coding RNA (OEUR_LNC013112)". The record is from RNAcentral. Lineage: Eukaryota; Viridiplantae; Streptophyta; Magnoliopsida; Lamiales; Oleaceae.
AAGAUUAAAACUAUCAAUGAUGAAAUCAUCAUAACAAGCCCCAAAAAAAUUCACAAGGGUUCAGCUUUUACUCACUGUGCGCGAAAAAUAGAGUUGAGAGGCUGAACCUGCAGAAGUGAAGGGAGAAUAGAUGUCAGAACCCACUUUCUCAUAGCUGCUAAUCUUUUAGUUAGGGAGACAAAUAAAACGAGUUAUGAUAAUAAAUACAAUGCAUUAAAACACUAUAAACCUCUUUUAAGCCAACGAUAUAAAACUAAUACAUUAUGCUCACUCAACUCUAAUAGCCAUGGACUUUUUAAACCUUUGCAAUUUUGUUCAAGUUCACUGUGCUAUGUAACAAGCUAAUGCAGCUGUAGGAUCGGUAAGUUGCGUAAGAUAGUUUUUAACCUCCUAGCUUGAAGAUGUUUUGUAUAAUUAUACAGAAACAGCCUGAUUCUGACAACGAUCCUACCCAAAAUAGCCAAGUCUUCAAUAAUAAUCAUCUCAGAUGAAAGGUAAAUGGCUGAUUAUUUGAGAAACAGGUUGUAAAAGUGGUGCCAAUUUACGGGGCUAUAGCAGUAAGUCUUGAUAGGACCUUCUUUUCCUGCCAAGAAAAAUUCACAAGACCUUCAAAAGAAAGAACACUAUUUCCACUAUUAUUAUCUUUUCCGUAUUCUCCUUAUCUUCAGAAAGGGACCAAGCAAGUAUGCUUUAAAUUUGGCUCUCGCAACCUACAAUACCACAAAGGACCAUAUAAACCAAUAUGACUAUUUUUAUAACUGAGCUCAGUUCCUGAAAGUUCCCAAUGACCUUGUGAACUCAAUGGAGUUUAACAAUUGACUAGAAGAGUGAUAACAUAUCUAUUCCCAUCCAUCUCAACAAUUCAGAAGGAUGCUAGAGGAAGUUAUCAAAUAAUUUUUAUUGGAAAUAUGGUCUCAGGAUACAUAAUCAAGUUAGUUGUUAAAAGUUUGGCGACCGUGGUCAAUAACCUGAAGAAUGUAGAGUUGACUCAAAGAAAGAAAAGGUUAAGCAAAGUAGUUAGUGCCAUAUAGUACAUGCUACAGAGAUGCAAUUGCUACCAGUAAUUAUAAGAUAUCAAUUUGUUUUGUAAGAAAAAAAGAUGAACUGUUGAAGGCAUAUGCUUCCACUCCAGCAAUUAAAGUAAUCUCAAAUCGGAUUUAAAAGUAGAUUUCAUACAAUAAAC